Molecule: ribosomal RNA, 492 nt
Filed under: uncultured bacterium
Lineage: Bacteria
Description: partial 16S ribosomal RNA
Rfam family: Bacterial small subunit ribosomal RNA
Source: RNAcentral
AGUGAACGCUGGCGGUAGGCCUAACACAUGCAAGUCGAACGGCAGCACAGUAAGAGCUUGCUCUUACGGGUGGCGAAUGGCGGACGGGUGAGGAAUACAUCGGAAUCUACUUUUUCGUGGGGGAUAACGUAGGGAAACUUACGCUAAUACCGCAUACGACCUACGGGUGAAAGCAGGGGAUCUUCGGACCUUGCGCGAUUGAAUGAGCCGAUGUCGGAUUAGCUAGUUGGCGGGGUAAAGGCCCACCAAGGCGCCGAUCCGUAGCUGGUCUGAGAGGAUGAUAGGCCACACUGGAGCUGAGGCACGGUCCAGACUCCUACGGGAGGCAGCAGUGGGGAAUAUUGGACAAUGGGCGCAAGCCUGAUCCAGCCAUACCGCGUGGGUGAAGAAGGCCUUCGGGUUGUAAAGCCCUUUUGUUGGGAAAGAAAAGCAGCAGGUUAAUACCCCGCUGUUCUGACGGUACCCAAAGAAUAAGCACCGGCUAACUUCGUG